RNAcentral lists this ribosomal RNA (468 nucleotides) under uncultured bacterium. RNAcentral describes it as "partial 16S ribosomal RNA". It matches the Rfam family "Bacterial small subunit ribosomal RNA", at positions 28 to 507 of the family's 1533-position model. The record is from RNAcentral.
GACGAACGCUGGCGGCGUGCUUAACACAUGCAAGUCGAACGGAAAGGCCCUGCUUUUGUGGGGUGCUCGAGUGGCGAACGGGUGAGUAACACGUGGGUAACCUGCCCUUGACUUUGGGAUAACUCCAGGAAACUGGGGCUAAUACCGGAUAGGAGCUCCUGCUGCAGGGUGGGGGUGGGAAAGUUUCGGCGGUUGGGGAUGGACUCGCGGCUUAUCAGCUUGUUGGUGGGGUAGUGGCUUACCAAGGCUUUGACGGGUAGCCGGCCUGAGAGGGUGACCGGCCACAUUGGGACUGAGAUACGGCCCAGACUCCUACGGGAGGCAGCAGUGGGGAAUAUUGCACAAUGGGCGGAAGCCUGAUGCAGCAACGCCGCGUGCGGGAUGACGGCCUUCGGGUUGUAAACCGCUUUCGCCUGUGACGAAGCGUGAGUGACGGUAAUGGGUAAAGAAGCACCGGCUAACUACGUG